RNAcentral lists this ribosomal RNA (497 nucleotides) under uncultured bacterium. RNAcentral describes it as "partial 16S ribosomal RNA". It matches the Rfam family "Bacterial small subunit ribosomal RNA", at positions 28 to 507 of the family's 1533-position model. The record is from RNAcentral.
GACGAACGCUGGCGGCGUGCCUAAUACAUGCAAGUUGAGCGAUGAAGAUUGGUUCUUGCACCAAUUUGAAGAGCAGCGAACGGGUGAGUAACGCGUGGGGAAUCUGCCUUUGAGCGGGGGACAACAUUUGGAAACGAAUGCUAAUACCGCAUAACAACUUUAAACAUAAGUUUUAAGUUUGAAAGAUGCAAUUGCAUCACUCAAAGAUGAUCCCGCGUUGUAUUAGCUAGUUGGUGAGGUAAAGGCUCACCAAGGCGAUGAUACAUAGCCGACCUGAGAGGGUGAUCGGCCACAUUGGGAGUGAGACACGGCCCAAACUCCUACGGGAGGCAGCAGUAGGGAAUCGUCGGCAAUGGACGAAAGUCUGACCGAGCAACGCCGCGUGAGUGAAGAAGGGUUUCGGAUCGUAAAACUCUGUUGGUAGAGAAGAACGUUGGUGAGAGUGGAAAGCUCAUCAAGUGACGGUAACUACCCAGAAAGGGACGGCUAACUACGUG